UUUUUGAUUAAUAAUUUAAAGUCUAAUCUGCCCACUGAUAAUAUAUUAAAGGGCUGCAGUAUUUUGACUGUACAAAGGUAGCAUAAUCAUUAGUCUCUUAAUUGGUGACUUGUAUGAAAGAUUUAAUGAGAUAUAUACUGUCUCUUUUUAAUUUGUAAAAUUUAAUUUUUUAGUUAAAAAGCUAAAAUAUAUUUAAAAGACGAGAAGACCCUAUAGAGUUUUAUAUUUAAUUAAAUUAGAAUUUUUUAUAAGAUUUAAAAUUUUAUUUUAAUUAAAUAUUUUGUUGGGGUGACAAAAAAAUUAAAAAAACUUUUUUUAUAAAUUUACAUUAAUAAAUGAGUAAAUGAUCCGUAAUUUACGAUUAAAAGAAAAAAUUACCUUAGGGAUAACAGCGUAAUUUUUUUUUUUAGUUCAAAUAAGAAGAAAAGUUUGCGACCUCGAUGUUGGAUUAAGAUAAAAUUUAAAUGCAAAAGUUUAAAAUUUUUGAUCUGUUCGAUCAUUAAAAUCUUACA
Molecule: ribosomal RNA, 512 nt
Filed under: Parnassius imperator augustus
Lineage: Eukaryota; Metazoa; Arthropoda; Insecta; Lepidoptera; Papilionidae
Description: partial 16S ribosomal RNA
Rfam family: Bacterial large subunit ribosomal RNA (bases 385-512)
Source: RNAcentral